Molecule: ribosomal RNA, 2081 nt
Filed under: Entamoeba sp. RL7
Lineage: Eukaryota; Evosea; Mastigamoebida; Endamoebidae
Description: partial 18S ribosomal RNA
Rfam family: Eukaryotic small subunit ribosomal RNA
Source: RNAcentral
AGUAUUAUAUGCUUCUGUCAAAGAUUUAGCCAUUCAUGUCUAAGCACAAAGUCCAAGUAUGAUGAAGCUGCGAACGGCUCAUUACAACAGUUAUAAUCUUUUUGAUGAGUGAGGUCACAAGGAUAUCUUUGAGAAUGUCAAAGCUAAUACUUGACGAAUUGACUUUGUGUGAGUAUUGAGUGUAACAACUCGUAAUCACAUAAAGGGGACUGUGAGUAUUCACAGUCUGGGUAUCGCCAUCUCUUUGUGAAAAAGGAUGGAAAUAACAGAGAUAAUUGUCGAACGGGAGUUUAUACAAGUCAUCAUUAAGAAUAUCUGACCUAUCAAUUAGCUGUUGGUAAGGUAGUGGCUUACCAAGGUGAUAACGGGUAACGAGGAAUAAGGGUUCGACAUCGGAGAGGGAGCUUUAGAAAUGGCUACCACUUCUAAGGAAGGCAGCAGGCGCGAAAAUUACCCAAUCUUAACUUUUGAAGGAGGUAGUGACGACAAUUAACUCUGUCAUCAUCUUAUGGUGAUGAUUGUUGGAAUGACUACGAUCCAAACCAUCGUAGGAAAUCGAUUGGAGGGCAAGUCUGGUGCCAGCAGCCGCGGUAAUUCCAGCUCCAAUAGUGUAUUGUAAAAUUGUUGUGAUUAAAACGCUCGUAGUUGAACCAUAACAAGGGGGCUCAUUUCUGUGUCCCAUAUCAUGUACACCCUAUAGCUUACGCUAGAACGGUGUGUGUGGAUGGGCUCUGAAAAAUUUGAGUUUUCCAUUAAAAGAAAGGAAAUAAAAUUCCUUCCUUACUUUGCCAAAAUCAAGGCGCUUAAAGCAAAAACUUUUGUUUAUGAAUAACCAAGCAAGGUAUAAAAGCAAGACAAGUUACUGCUUAUCCGAUUUAGAGAUGGAGCUUGCUCUAUUCAAAGAAGAGGAUAGUAUCUUGUUUUAAACAAGAUUAAAAGAAAUGAUUAGGGUGAUCUAGAUAGGAACGGGAGAGGUGGAAAUCCAUGAUCGUUUCGAGAUAAGCGAGAGCGAAAGCAUUUCACUGAAUUCAUUUCAUUAAUCAAGAACGAAAGUCAGGGAAUCAAAGACGAUUAGAUACCGUCGUAGUCCUGACCAUAAACGAUGUCAACUAAGGAUUGGAUUCGAUCAAACUAGAGUUGUCCCUAAUCCCCCAUCUGGGGGCCUCUGGGACACAGGCUCUAAAUCUUCCCUUAUUCAGGACUUGAUGAGAAAUCAUUAAGUGAAUGGACUUCAGGGGGAGUAUGGUCACAAGGCUGAAACUUAAAGGAAUUGACGGAAGGGCACACCAGGAGUGGAGCCUGCGGCUUAAUUUGACUCAACACGGGAAAACUUACCAAGACCGAACGGUGUAAGGAAUGUCAGGUUACUGGAUCUUACAUGAUUCAUCGGGGAGUGGUGCAUGGCCGUUCUUAGUUCGUGGAGUGAUUUGUCUGGUUAAUUCCGAUAACGAACGAGACUUGAACUUGCUAAUUAGUUGAACAAAAAGUCACUUUCGAGUGUCUUUUGUUUAUUGCCUCAAUGGCUACACGUGUAAUAACGUGACUUCUUAGAGGGACAAAUCUUUAAUCCUUUAUGCCGUUUACGCUGAAGUCAAGUGGAGGUUUACCAAAACUUGACGCUUUGUAUACGGUGUGAAACAAAAAGAAGGAAGCAUCAAGCAAUAACAGGUCUGUGAUGCCCUUAGACAUCUUGGGCUGCACGCGUGCUACAAUGAAAGUACCAGAGAGUUCAAGUGUUCAUUACAAGCGCUUGAGUUUGAGUACGAUGGUGCAUGUAUUGGAUACGCUCACCUACUCCGAAAGGAGGUGGAAAGCUCUAAUGUCUUUCUUAAUUCUUGACUGGGAUGAAUGAUUGGAAUUAUUUGUUCUGAACAAGGAAUUCCUUGUAAAAGCAAGUCACUAGCUUGCGUUGAAUACGUCCCUGCCCUUUGUACACACCGCCCGUCGCUCCUACCGAUUGAAUAAAAGGGUGAAAUGUCGGGAUUUCUGUGGCUUGCCAUGGGAAAAACGAUAGUAAAUCUUUUUGUUUAGAGGAAGGAGAAGUCGUAACAAGGUUUCCGUAGGUGAACCUGCGGAAGGAU